This 1280-nucleotide long non-coding RNA is filed under the name Equus caballus (horse). RNAcentral describes it as "lncRNA (ENSECAG00000035994.3)". The record is from RNAcentral. Lineage: Eukaryota; Metazoa; Chordata; Mammalia; Perissodactyla; Equidae.
GAGCUUUGACAAUAAGGGCUGGACAGUGGCCCUGCUGUGAGAAGAGAGAAAAGGAACGGGGCUGAGGGAAGGACGAGAGACAAGAUCCAGAGGGUGCUGCUCCCUUGGGAACCGAGUAAGGAGUAGAGAAGGCUUUGCACCUAGGAAGCUGGCUCCAGGAUCCAUGUGCUUAGCACUGAGCUGUCUCCCAAACUGUUGAUAGAGAAGGCGAGGGAAGGAUAUUGUCUUGGUGCCUGUGAAUUCCAGAUCUGAAGGCGAUGCUAUUGGAUCUGGGUCUUUCCUCAUCAGCCCACUCCUGGAAAUGGUGGGCAGCUGGAGCCAAGAUGACAAAGGGGAAGAUUAGAGGCAACUGAGACCUAAGUCCUGGACCUGGAAGGUGAAAAGGAUGGAGCUGGGCGUGGCUCAGUUCAAGCCUGGCCCCCCGGGACGUCAGAGCGUGUGAGCCCAGGCUACUUAUGGCCUUCUCUGGACUCAGGGAUCGUGUGGCUGCAGACUGAGGAAGUGGUCAGCAGAUGACGUCGCAAGUCAGAAAGGACUGAAACGUCAAGACCGUUCCGGCCUAAGAGGCAGAGAAGAGGGCAGGCGAGUGUGGCAAAGGCGAAAUUUUUAAUGGAGUCAGCAGUACAGAUGAUCCCGCUCCUCUGAACCCCAGAGCCGCGCAUCCAGCUGUCAACUUGCCAUCCUCACUGUGUCAAAGGCAAGAGGAUGAUAUCCUACGAGGGUCUCAUGAUCACCUUCUAAAGGAAAGGAUGUUUUAACACGCAAGCGUGGGAAGGACUUUGUGGGUGAUAGCCACGCAUUCAACAAAAGCCACCGCUGGACUCCAGUUCCCAGCCUUGCAGUUGGAUGGACCGUGGGGAUGUGGCGGAAGUGAGGCUCACCUCUUGCUGUCCUGGCCCACAAAAGCCUCCCACAAUCCUCCUCUCUUUUGUUCCCCAGCCUCCCCACACAGCUGGCUUGACCUUGCUCACAGCAUGGCAGUGUCGGAACAGCCAGACUCAGGACAUGGCAGCUGGUUUCCCCUAGAGGACCAUUCGAGGAGAGGAUGCUGCUACUUCUUUAAAGCCUUGGGCGCACCGGAAAAGAGGAAAUUGGAGAAGGCUUUGGAGAAGGACGUGGAAAAAGCCCUGCGUGUGUGAAGCUCUUUUCUCCGUGCCCGGAGGAAAUGCGAAAGGGGACCGUGUGAACAUCUGUGGGAGCUACUGAGAGGCUCAGGAUUAGCGUCAAUGCCUGUUAUGACAUUCUGCCUUUCAGCUCAAUAAAAUGAUUUUUUGUGAGGC